GGCGUUCAUCGCGGCAGAAGUUAUCCUUCAGCAUAGCCAUGAAACCGGGCGCGCCCAAAGAAUAAUUCUCCGCUUCAUUGCCGUCCUCUUCGGGAGACAGAUGGAGGGGAGGAAGUCCGGGCUCCAUAGGGCAGGGUGCCAGGUAACGCCUGGGAGGCGCAAGCCUACGACUAGUGCAACAGAGAGCAAACCGCCGAUGCCCGCGCAAGCGGGAUCAGGUAAGGGUGAAAGGGUGCGGUAAGAGCGCACCGCGCGGCUGGCAACAGUUCGUGGCACGGUAAACUCCACCCGGAGCAAGGCCAAAUAGGGGUUCACAUGUACGGCCGUACUGAACCGGGUAGGCUGCUUGAGCCAGUGAGCGAUUGCUGGCCUAGAGGAAUGACUGUCCACGACAGAACCCGGCUUACCGGUCAACUCCUCGA
RNAcentral lists this RNase P RNA (422 nucleotides) under Serratia ureilytica. RNAcentral's name for it is "RNase P RNA component class A". The stretch from base 55 to 414 matches the Rfam family "Bacterial RNase P class A". Rfam says of the family: Ribonuclease P (RNase P) is a ubiquitous endoribonuclease, found in archaea, bacteria and eukarya as well as chloroplasts and mitochondria. Its best characterised activity is the generation of mature 5'-ends of tRNAs by cleaving the 5'-leader elements of precursor-tRNAs. Cellular RNase Ps are ribonucleoproteins. The record is from RNAcentral. Lineage: Bacteria; Pseudomonadati; Pseudomonadota; Gammaproteobacteria; Enterobacterales; Yersiniaceae.